RNAcentral lists this ribosomal RNA (340 nucleotides) under uncultured bacterium. RNAcentral describes it as "bacterial SSU rRNA". It matches the Rfam family "Bacterial small subunit ribosomal RNA", at positions 29 to 334 of the family's 1533-position model. The record is from RNAcentral.
AGCGAACGCUGGCGGCGUGGAUUAGGCAUGCAAGUCGAGCGGGAUCUUACUGACGGAUUCCUUCGGGAUGAAGACAGUAAGUGAGAGCGGCGAACGGGUGAGUAAUGCUUAGGUAAUUUGCCCCUAAAUCUGGGAUAGCCUCGGGAAACUGGGAUUAAUACCGGAUGUGGUCUUCCAACGCAUGUUGGAAUGUCUAAAGGCGGGGACCCUUCGGGGCCUGUCGUUUAGGGAUAAGCCUGAGUCCUAUCAGCUUGUUGGUGAGGUAAAAGCUCACCAAGGCUAAGACGGGUAGCUGGUCUGAGAGGAUGGUCAGCCACACUGGGACUGAGACACUGCCCAG